CAAUAGCGUAUAUUAAAGUUGUUGCGGUUAAAAAGCUCGUAGUUGGAUUUCUGCCGAGGACGACCGGUCCGCCCUCUGGGUGUGUAUCUGGUUUGGCCUGGGCAUCUUCUUGGAGAACGUAGCUGCACUUGACUGUGUGGUGCGGUGUCCAGGACUUUUACUUUGAGGAAAUUAGAGUGUUUCAAGCAGGCACACGCCUUGAAUACAUUAGCAUGGAAUAAUAAGAUAGGACCUCGGUUCUAUUUUGUUGGUUUCUAGAGCUGAGGUAAUGAUUAAUAGGGAUAGUUGGGGGCAUUCGUAUUUAACUGUCAGAGGUGAAAUUCUUGGACUUGUUAAAGACGGACUACUGCGAAAGCAUUUGCCAAGGAUGUUUUCAUUGA
Molecule: ribosomal RNA, 380 nt
Filed under: uncultured eukaryote
Lineage: Eukaryota
Description: partial 18S ribosomal RNA
Rfam family: Eukaryotic small subunit ribosomal RNA
Source: RNAcentral